RNAcentral lists this ribosomal RNA (508 nucleotides) under uncultured bacterium. RNAcentral's name for it is "partial 16S ribosomal RNA". It matches the Rfam family "Bacterial small subunit ribosomal RNA", at positions 355 to 853 of the family's 1533-position model. The record is from RNAcentral.
UGGGGAAUUUUGGACAAUGGGCGAAAGCCUGAUCCAGCAAUGCCGCGUGUGUGAAGAAGGCCUUCGGGUUGUAAAGCACUUUUGUCCGGAAAGAAAUCCUUGGCUCUAAUACAGUCGGGGGAUGACGGUACCGGAAGAAUAAGCACCGGCUAACUACGUGCCAGCAGCCGCGGUAAUACGUAGGGUGCAAGCGUUAAUCGGAAUUACUGGGCGUAAAGCGUGCGCAGGCGGCUUGCUAAGACCGAUGUGAAAUCCCCGGGCUCAACCUGGGAACUGCAUUGGUGACUGGCAGGCUAGAGUAUGGCAGAGGGGGGUAGAAUUCCACGUGUAGCAGUGAAAUGCGUAGAGAUGUGGAGGAAUACCGAUGGCGAAGGCAGCCCCCUGGGGCCAAAUACUGACGCUCAUGCACGAAAGCGUGGGGAGCAAACAGGAUUAGAUACCCUGGUAGUGCCACGCCCUAAACGAUGUCAACUAGUUGUUGGGGAUUCAUUUCCUUAGUAACGUAGCU